UGCCAGCCGCCGCGGUAAUACGGAGGGUGCGAGCGUUAUCCGGAUUCAUUGGGUUUAAAGGGUGCGUAGGCGGAACGAUAAGUCAGUGGUGAAAGUUUGUGGCUCAACCAUAAAAUUGCCUUUGAUACUGUCGUUCUUGAGUACAUUUGAGGUAAGCGGAAUGUGUUGUGUAGCGGUGAAAUGCUUAGAUAUAACACAGAACACCGAUUGCGAAGGCAGCUUACUAAACUGUUACUGACGCUGAUGCACGAAAGCGUGGGGAUCGAACAGGAUUAGAUA
RNAcentral lists this ribosomal RNA (279 nucleotides) under uncultured bacterium. Its description in RNAcentral is "partial 16S ribosomal RNA". It matches the Rfam family "Bacterial small subunit ribosomal RNA", at positions 506 to 784 of the family's 1533-position model. The record is from RNAcentral.